Molecule: long non-coding RNA, 360 nt
Organism: Homo sapiens (human)
Lineage: Eukaryota; Metazoa; Chordata; Mammalia; Primates; Hominidae
Source: Ensembl
GCACACUCUUUAAAGGAAGAGAUCUAAAAAGAGUUUAAGGAGAAGGUCAUGAUUGAGUAGGAUAGUUUUUGGAUUUGAGGAAAUAAGAAAUAGAUAUGUCACACAGGAGAAUUAGCAUGCAAAUGGUCUAGAUCAGUGCUGAGCAAUACAAACACAACGUGAAUGACAAAUGUAAGCCACAUAUGUAAUUUUAAAACUUCUAGUACCCAUAUUAAAAAAGUAAAAUGGAACAGCAAAUCUCAAUUCUGCCUAGUCACAAGAGCUCAACAGUGGGGACUACAUUGGGCAGCACAGAUCCAGACUCUAAAAUCUGUUAUUUGAAGAUAAAAUUUGAUUAAAUGAGAGAAUUAUUUUAUCUUA